ACCAUGCUUCCAAGAAAAGCCUCUAAGCUUCAGUUACAAGGAGACCGUACCGCAAACCAACACAGGUGGGCAGGAUGAAAAUUCUAAGGCGCUUGAGAGAACUCAGGAGAAGGAACUCGGCAAAUUUGCACCGUAACUUCGGGAUAAGGUGCGCCCUGAUAGGUUGUAGCCCCUCGCGGGUGAAGGCUGAAAGGGUUGCAGUGAAAUGGUGGCUGCGACUGUUUAAUAAAAACACAGCACUCUGCAAACACGAAAGUGGUCGUAUAGGGUGUGACGCCUGCCCGGUGCCGGAAGGUUAAGUGAUGGGGUGAGAGCUCUUGAUCGAAGCCCCGGUAAACGGCGGCCGUAACAAUAACGGUCCUAAGGUAGCGAAAUUCCUUGUCGGGUAAGUUCCGACCUGCACGAAUGGCGUAACGAUGGCCACACUGUCUCCUCCUGAGACUCAGCGAAGUUGAAAUGGUUGUGAAGAUGCAAUCUCCCCGCGGUUAGACGGAAAGACCCCAUGAACCUUUACUGUAGCUUUGCAUUGGACUUUGAACCGACUUGUGUAGGAUAGGUGGGAGGCUGUGAAACCGGGACGCUAGUUCAGGUGGAGCCAACCUUGAAAUACCACCCUGGUUUGUUUGAGGUUCUAACCACGGCCCGUGAAUCCGGGUCUGGGACCGUGCAUGGUAGGCAGUUUGACUGGGGCGGUCUCCUCCUAAAGUGUAACGGAGGAGUACGAAGGUACGCUAGGUACGGUCGGACAUCGUGCUGAUAGUGCAAUGGCAAAAGCGUGCUUGACUGCGAGACCCACACGUCGAGCAGGUACGGAAGUAGGUCAUAGUGAUCCGGUGGUUCUGUAUGGAAGGGCCAUCGCUCAACGGAUAAAAGGUACUCUGGGGAUAACAGGCUAAUACCGCCCAAGAGUUCAUAUCGACGGCGGUGUUUGGCACCUCGAUGUCGGCUCAUCACAUCCUGGGGCUGUAGUCGGUCCCAAGGGUAUGGCUGUCCGCCAUUUAAAGUGGUACGUGAGCUGGGUUUAAAACGUCGUGAGACAGUUUGGUCCCUAUCUGCCGUGGGCGCUGGAAAUUUGAAGGGGGCUGCUCCUAGUACGAGAGGACCGGAGUGGACGAACCUCUGGUGUACCGGUUAUGACGCCAGUCGUAUUGCCGGGUAGCUAAGUUCGGAAGAGAUAAACGCUGAAAGCAUCUAAGCGUGAAACUCGCCUUAAGAUGAGAUUUCCCUGGGGACUUGAUCCCCCUGAAGGGUCGUGGUAGACCACCACGUUGAUAGGCUGGGUGUGGAAGCGCAGCAAUGCGUUAAGCUAACCAGUACUAAUUGCCCGUGAGGCUUGAUCCU
This 1341-nucleotide ribosomal RNA is filed under the name metagenome. RNAcentral describes it as "bacterial LSU rRNA". It matches the Rfam family "Bacterial large subunit ribosomal RNA", at positions 1599 to 2925 of the family's 2925-position model. The record is from RNAcentral.